Molecule: ribosomal RNA, 402 nt
Filed under: Actinomycetes bacterium
Lineage: Bacteria; Bacillati; Actinomycetota; Actinomycetes
Description: Actinobacteria bacterium partial 16S ribosomal RNA
Rfam family: Bacterial small subunit ribosomal RNA
Source: RNAcentral
UGGGGAAUAUUGGACAAUGGGCGCAAGCCUGAUCCAGCCAUGCCGCGUGAGUGAUGAAGGCCCUAGGGUUGUAAAGCUCUUUCACCGGUGAAGAUAAUGACGGUAACCGGAGAAGAAGCCCCGGCUAACUUCGUGCCAGCAGCCGCGGUAAUACGAAGGGGGCUAGCGUUGUUCGGAUUUACUGGGCGUAGCGCACGUAGGCGGACUUUUAAGUCAGGGGUGAAAUCCCGGGGCUCAACCCCGGAACUGCCUUUGAUACUGGAAGUCUUGAGUAUGGUAGAGGUGAGUGGAAUUCCGAGUGUAGAGGUGAAAUUCGUAGAUAUUCGGAGGAACACCAGUGGCGAAGGCGGCUCACUGGACCAUUACUGACGCUGAGGUGCGAAAGCGUGGGGAGCAAACAGG